UAGGGAAUCUUCCACAAUGGACGCAAGUCUGAUGGAGCAACGCCGCGUGAGUGAAGAAGGUUUUCGGAUCGUAAAGCUCUGUUGUUGGUGAAGAAGGAUAGAGGCAGUAACUGGUCUUUAUUUGACGGUAAUCAACCAGAAAGUCACGGCUAACUACGUGCCAGCAGCCGCGGUAAUACGUAGGUGGCAAGCGUUGUCCGGAUUUAUUGGGCGUAAAGCGAGCGCAGGCGGAAUGAUAAGUCUGAUGUGAAAGCCCAUGGCUCAACCGUGGAACUGCAUCAGAAACUGUCAUUCUUGAGUGCAGAAGAGGAGAGUGGAAUUCCAUGUGUAGCGGUGGAAUGCGUAGAUAUAUGGAGGGACACCAGUGGCGAAGGCGGCUCUCUGGUCUGCAACUGACGCUGAGGCUCGAAAGCAUGGGUAGCGAACAGG
Molecule: ribosomal RNA, 429 nt
Filed under: bacterium
Lineage: Bacteria
Description: partial 16S ribosomal RNA
Rfam family: Bacterial small subunit ribosomal RNA
Source: RNAcentral